UAAUACUCGAGCCCCAAGUGGUAUCCACGAUUAGUGGGUCUAAAGCGUCCGUAGCCGGUUUGGUAAGUUCUCAGUGAAAUCCUUUGGCAAACUGAAGGGCUUGCUGGGAAUACUACUAGACUUGGGACUGGGAGAGGGUAGAGGUACUCCCGGGGGAGGGGUAAAAUCCUAUAAUCCUGGGGGGACCACCUGUGGCGAAGGCUUCUACCUAGAACAGGUUCGACGGUGAGGGACGAAACCUAGGGGAGCGAUCGGGAUUAGAUACCCCGGUAGUCCUAGGUGUAAACUAUGCCCGUUUGGUGUUGCCGACCUUUCGAGGGUCUGCAGUGCCGGAGCGAAGGUGUUAAACGGGCCACCUGGGGAGUACGUCCGCAAGGAUG
Molecule: ribosomal RNA, 380 nt
Filed under: uncultured archaeon
Lineage: Archaea
Description: bacterial SSU rRNA
Rfam family: Archaeal small subunit ribosomal RNA
Source: RNAcentral